UACGUAGGGUGCAAGCGUUGUCCGGAAUUAUUGGGCGUAAAGAGCUCGUAGGCGGUCUGUCGCGUCUGCUGUGAAAACUCAGGGCUUAACCCUGAGCUUGCAGUGGGUACGGGCAGACUAGAGUGCGGUAGGGGAGACUGGAAUUCCUGGUGUAGCGGUGAAAUGCGUAGAUAUUGGGAGGAACACCAGUGGCGAAGGCGGUCCCCUGGGCCGGAACUGACGCUGAGGCGCGAAAGCGUGGGUAGCAAACGGG
RNAcentral lists this ribosomal RNA (253 nucleotides) under uncultured bacterium. Its description in RNAcentral is "partial 16S ribosomal RNA". It matches the Rfam family "Bacterial small subunit ribosomal RNA", at positions 524 to 776 of the family's 1533-position model. The record is from RNAcentral.